This is a non-coding RNA of Pelodiscus sinensis (Chinese soft-shelled turtle), 522 nucleotides long. Lineage: Eukaryota; Metazoa; Chordata; Testudines; Trionychidae. The record is from RefSeq and is a predicted model, not a curated record.
CCUCUAGCUUAAAUAAAGGCUGCAGCAAGCCCUGAAUGGACACUACACAGAAAGGACAAGAGAUGCACAGCCCACCUGCAUGUGCACUCUACGUUGGAUCCAGAGAAAAUGUUACUACUACCUAAAACUGAUCUCCAGAUAUUCCAGGCCUAAAGAAGCCAUGACAGCCUUGCCAACAAGAAUCUGCAGAGGUUGUUCUUCCUUCCAGUUAACCUCACUACUGCAGGGUAUUUUUUAUUCGUAAAGGAACACUGGAAGGCAAUCUAGGCCCAACAUCCUCCCUGGUCUGCAGAUACAAUCCCGUGCCAUCGAACCAUUGCUGGGGGACAGAGGGCAGCCGUUGUGGAAAAAGGAGGAUCUGAGGUUUCUUAAAAGCAGAUAGCCUGAAGGGCUGUGGAAAGACAAAGCAGCACCAAGAACUUGUAGUAAUCAGCAGGAUUUGUCCAGAUUCUCCAUGCCUUGCUCAGUUUUCUGAAAUCUCCCGAAGAACCAGAUGAAGAACCCAAACAAAGCAAAAGCCAG